Molecule: long non-coding RNA, 1618 nt
Organism: Sorghum bicolor (sorghum)
Lineage: Eukaryota; Viridiplantae; Streptophyta; Magnoliopsida; Poales; Poaceae
Exons: 9
Source: RefSeq, a predicted model, not a curated record
CCUUCUCUUCUCCCUCGUGCCGCCGCGGCGCCGCCUGCCCAUCCCUCUCCGAGUUGACCGCAGCGUCGGGGCCAUCGCUUCUUCGCCCUCGUACGUGGGCAAGCCUAGCGAAGCCUCUCGCUCUCUCGUUCACCUCUCUCCGGGCGGCGGCAGCGGCGGGGAUCGUACGACGACGACCCCAAUUCUCAGCAAACGAGACAUACCAUUCUUGAUAAUGUAGAGACAAUAGUCAAGAGAGACAACAAGUAAGCUGAAGCCACAUUGAAAGAAGAUUCCAGACGUCCUGCCGCGGAUCAAUGUUUGCCACACGCAGAUUCCAGACGUCCUGCCGCGGAUCAAAGGGCACUGGCCUGCUUGCGCUCGCAAGAUUGAAGAGGAGAGGACGCUAGCCUGCUGCCGCGUGCAGGAGUCCGAGGAGAGGGCGGCGGCCUGCCACCGCGCGCAGGACUCCAGAGGAGAGGGCGCCGGGCUGCUACGCCGUGCAGUUUUCGGCGUGAGGGGGAAGGAGCGUGGGAGAGCGAGAGUUGAUGCAGGCUUCAAACUUUUCUCUAAAACCAUUGAAUUUAGUCAUGGUUGAUUUUGAGACGUUGAUUAUGUUGAAGAUAAAAUUCUGUGUGUGUUUUCCUAGGUACACAAUGUUCCUACCUCCUCUCACUCCCUCCCUCCCCCCUCCUACGCCCUGCAUCACACGGAUCUGCUAUGAGAGCUGUAGGAACAGGAGCGUCCAAGGGUGGCGGCUGCAGGCUCCCCAUGAGGACCUUCGGACCACCUAGGGUUCUUACACAUGAGGAUAACAAAAAGGGCGAGAUCGAGAAGGAUGACGCUUUCUAGAAUCAAGACGCCCUCAAGGAUGGAGCAGACACAAUCAGGCUCUGUUGCAGUUAGCAUUGUGAGACCAUGUCUGAGAUUGAGAGGCGACGUCUAGAUUCUGUGAGGCCAUGAAGGCUGUGCCCUGUGCAACCUCGUGCAGUAUUAUGAUAGGAUGGUGGGCUCCUUGCUUUUGGGACCCAUUUCAGGAUACUUUGGUUAACAAUGCUUGGUGCAUCAGUUUUCUGACUUUCUAUGCAUAAGAAAAUGAUUGGUGGCAGUAACUUCUUGAGAAAAGCACCUGCUCCUAAAAUGUUAACCUCUCUAUGUGAUGGGUUGUUUUUGGUUAUCAUUUCAUAUAAUGAAUGGCCUUAGAAUGACAAUGCCCCCUCAUUAGGAAGUGAAUACAGUUAAGGAAGUCAACAUAUUAUUUAAGUUGUUAGGGAUAUUGGUGCUUGAAAAAUGGUGACAGUGUGUGUUAUGCUGAUUGCUACAUAUAGGCCUUGUAUAAUUGAUAAUUCUAUCAUUUGAAAUUUUGAAGUGUACCAUAAGGUAAAUGAUAAUUCUAGUGAAAUCAUUUUAGUUGCGGGUUGGAUUUUGAUAUGAAUGUAAAAAUGGUGCUGGUGCUUACUAACCAACUCUUGUCGUAAAUACAGAACUUUUUUUGUCAUCCAACCAUUAUAUGAAUUAAGCAUCCAACUCCUGCGAUAGAUACACAUUUUUAUAUCUAUCUAAGUUCUUAUUAUCUAUUAUAUGAAUUCUCUCAAAUGUGUAUUAUUAUUUCUCAAAAUUUUCACUAUAAUUCCUCCUU